AAUUUAAUUAGUUUAUGAAAAAUAUUGGAUUGUGGAUUCAGUGAAAUAAAGUUUUAUAUUAAAU
This 64-nucleotide transfer RNA is filed under the name Gunungiella wangi. Its description in RNAcentral is "tRNA-His". Lineage: Eukaryota; Metazoa; Arthropoda; Insecta; Trichoptera; Philopotamidae. The record is from RNAcentral.